Molecule: unclassified non-coding RNA, 2075 nt
Filed under: Hevea brasiliensis (rubber tree)
Lineage: Eukaryota; Viridiplantae; Streptophyta; Magnoliopsida; Malpighiales; Euphorbiaceae
Source: RNAcentral
GCCAUCGCAAGAAAGAAGAAAAGAGCUUUCUUGCUUUCCUGCUAAAAAGGCCUGCGGAAGUUCAAAUUGCCCCCUCAUCCCACCUCAUCCACUCACUCAUGUAUAAUUGAUCAUUCUCCUACAAAUCUUUAACUUCAACCUCAAUUCUUAAAAUUACGAAACUAACAUAGUUACGUUUAAAGUUAAACAACUGACCGAAGUUGGGACGCGGAAGAGGUAGAGACUGAAAGAAACGCAUCGUUUAAACUUGUAAUUAAAGACUUCUUCUUCUCUCGCGUUUCUCUGAGAAAGUGAAGAAUUUUGACUAGAGUAGGGAGUAAGGAGAGGCGUUGAUUUCGUCUCAAUAGAACAAUUAUUUCAAUCCAAUAAGCUUAUGCUGUUGGAUCUGCUCAAUUGAAAUUCUGGAUUUUGGUGGGAUUGGCCGAGGGUUGUCUGCUGUUUGAGGCAGACUUGGGUGAAUGUGUGAAGGCUUGGGAUUCUUUCAAGUUAGAGAUGUCUCACGCCAUGGAAAGGUUUUUAUCUGCAGUAGCCGCCUCUGUGGAAAAUCAGGCGGCGGGAGAGUCAGUCAUCGGCACCAUCAAAAUUGCUGUUCUGCCCAUAGCAAAAGUUUUUACAAUGUGCUUUUUGGGAUUUCUUAUGGCCUCCAAAUAUGUUAACAUUUUGCCUGCCAAUGGAAGAAAACUCCUUAAUGGGUUGGUUUUUUCGCUUUUGCUUCCUUGUUUGAUAUUCUCUCAACUUGGGCAAGCUGUUACAUUGAAGAAGAUGUUGGAGUGGUGGUUUAUCCCCAUGAAUGUUGUUCUAGGCGCUACAUCAGGCUCGCUAAUAGGUUUUAUUGUUGCAUAUAUUGUUCGCCCCCCAUACCCAUUUUUCAAGUUCACUAUUAUACAAAUUGGAAUUGGGAACAUUGGGAAUGUGCCGCUUGUCCUAAUUGCAGCUCUAUGCAGAGAUAAAUCCAAUCCUUUCGGUGACUCAGAAAAAUGUAGCACAGAUGGGACUGCCUAUAUCUCCUUUGGCCAGUGGGUUGGUGCAAUCAUCCUAUACACAUAUGUAUUUCAUAUGUUGGCACCUCCUCCUGAAGGUACAUUUGAAAUUGAGGAUGGAAGUCUUCCGCUUAAGAACCCUCCAAAAGAUGCUGCUCCUGAGCAAGUGCCCUUGCUUACCCAGGAGGAUGAUAAACCAAUAGAUUCAAAUGCUUCAAAGAAAGGAAAGAUUAAACAAUUUCUAGUUUUUCUAUAUGAGAAGUUGAAGCUCAAGCAAAUCCUUCAGCCCCCUAUCAUUGCUUCUAUCCUAGCCAUGUUCCUUGGUGCAGUACCAUUUUUGAAGCGAUUGAUCUUUACAACUGAUGCUCCACUCUACUUUUUUACUGACAGCUGCAAUAUUCUUGGGGAGGCCAUGAUUCCGUGCAUUUUGUUGGCUUUGGGAGGGAACCUUGUUGAUGGACCAGGAAGUUCUAAACUUGGUUUACGGACAACUGCUGCUAUUAUUUUUGCUCGGUUAAUUUUGGUGCCUCCUGCUGGACUAGGCAUUGUUAUGUUGGCUGAUAAGCUUGGCUUCCUUCCUCCUGGUGAUAAGAUGUUCCGGUUUGUCCUACUUCUUCAACAUACAAUGCCUACAUCUGUCCUGUCAGGUGCUGUCGCUAAUCUCAGAGGUUGUGGAAGAGAGGCUGCUGCUGUCCUGUUCUGGGUUCAUAUUUUUGCCGUUUUCUCAAUGGCCGGAUGGAUUGUUCUUUAUAUCAACAUUCUCUUCUGAGUUGCAAACCUGCCGCAAGCUGUUGCUGACAUGUACCUGCCCUCUUCAUAGCGAUUUAUUUCACUUUUGGUGCCAAUAGCUAAGUGGGUUACAAAAGAAAAUUUUGAAAUUUAUUGGGAAGCAGAGGUUCUCAAUAGCAGUUUUUCGGACAGAUUUCAGAAUCUGUGGACUUGGAUUGUCAUUCUUAUAUAUAAGCUGGCGAAUCAUUUUUAUUGUUUCCAUUCCUCUAUCCUUGGAAGAUUUUGGAUUCAUAUUAUCCAAUACAUGUCUAAUUAUCUAGAAUGUGUCAGUAAAUAGUUUGAAAUUUUAAAAUAAUAGUAUUGAAG